This 497-nucleotide ribosomal RNA is filed under the name uncultured bacterium. Its description in RNAcentral is "partial 16S ribosomal RNA". It matches the Rfam family "Bacterial small subunit ribosomal RNA", at positions 28 to 507 of the family's 1533-position model. The record is from RNAcentral.
GAUGAACGCUGGCGGCGUGCCUAAUACAUGCAAGUCGAGCGAACGGACGAGAAGCUUGCUUCUCUGAUGUUAGCGGCGGACGGGUGAGUAACACGUGGAUAACCUACCUAUAAGACUGGGAUAACUUCGGGAAACCGGAGCUACUACCGGAUAAUAUUUUGAACCGCAUGGUUCAAAAGUGAAAGACGGUCUUGCUGUCACUUAUAGAUGGAUCCGCGCUGCAUUAGUUAGUUGGUAAGGUAACGGCUUACCAAGGCAACGAUGCAUAGCCGACCUGAGAGGGUGGUCGGCCACACGGGAACUGAGACACGGUCCAGACUCCUACGGGGAGCAACAGUAGGGAAUCUUCCGCAAUGGGCGAAAGCCUGACGGAGCAACGCCGCGUGAGUGAUGAAGGUCUUCGGAUCGUAAAACUCUGUUAGUAGGGAAGAACAUAUGUGUAAGUAACUGUGCACAUCUUGACGGUACCUAAUCAGAAAGCCACGGCUAACUACGUG